GGGCAGAUGGCCGAGUGGUCCAAGGCGCCAGCUUCAGGUGCUGGUCUCGCAAGAGGCGUGGGUUCGAACCCCACUCUGCUCA
Non-coding RNA from Entophlyctis luteolus, 82 nucleotides. The record is from the annotation of a GenBank genome assembly. NCBI's taxonomy places the organism in Eukaryota, Fungi, Chytridiomycota, Chytridiomycetes, Chytridiales, Chytriomycetaceae.